This 4365-nucleotide long non-coding RNA is filed under the name Nicotiana tabacum (common tobacco). RNAcentral describes it as "long non-coding RNA (NTAB_LNC009955)". The record is from RNAcentral. Lineage: Eukaryota; Viridiplantae; Streptophyta; Magnoliopsida; Solanales; Solanaceae.
ACCAUUAGAAUGUAUUCAUGCACGUUUUUCCUUGUUUUUCUACAUAAUGUUCAUCUUACACCGUACUCUUUUCUCUUGCUGGUGGUUUCUGUGGUCGGAUUGGUCAAUUUAAUGCACUAGGCGACGAUAAUUUGGAUAAAAUGUGCAUAUAUUUAGUGAACUGACUAAAUGAGAUGACAUUCCUUUAAAACAAAAAGAUAAAAAUAGCACACCAGCAAGAAUUCACAUUGACAAAUCAACGCUCCGCAGACCUCUAGAUUAGCGAGAUAACUUUGGUGCUAGAGAGGUCUAGUUGUUUCAAUGAUACAUAUACAACUUGAUAAUAAUAGCAUCUGAAAAUAAAAAUAUGUAUCACAUCAUUUAGUAUAGUAGAGAAACAAAAGAAUGUUCUAUGUGUGCAGACAAAAACGUGGAUAGCCACAUCAUCCCAGUUUCCACAAAUGAAACCAGUUUUCGCAAAACUAAAUUAUUCAACUAAUGAGAAACAUCACAAUGAAGCGAAAUAUCAAGCACAAAGACAACUAAGUCAUUUCUCAUGUCACCCUGAAUUUCUCUUCACACAGGCAACCCAAGUUUUUUUAUUAACAACUCAAUUGAGCCACCAACCAUUGAAGCGAAAUAUCAAGCACAACCUACAAAUAAACCAAGAAUAGCAUUACUCGGAAGAUAAAAAGAAAUUUUGGGAUACAAUAAAAUUUUUUUUGGAUGAAGCAAUAUAUUUAUCAUGACUAAUCUUUAAAAGGAAUCAAGAGGACCAAAUAGACCAAAAAAGAAAAAAAGGACAUAUAUUGGUCGUAGUUAUGAACAUAAGUGUGAUAAAGCUAAUAAAUAUAUAUAUGGCACUGGAUGAGACAAUAGAAAAUUGAUCUUGAAGCUUAUGAGCAGGUACCAUUUCCCAAAAUCCACUUAGAAACAGAAUCAAGCAUUCGAAAAAUCCAUGCUUUCCCAAGAAAUAAAAAAAUCUGAAAUUCCUUCCUCCCAUGACUUUAUAAAUAAAACUUCCAUCUUAAGUGAAAAGUUAUCAUACAGACAAACCACGUAGUAUCAUGAACAUUUGUAUAUUAAAUACAUAACACAAAAACAAAAAAUAAAAAAUAAUAAGUUAGUCAAAAAUUCUUAUUAAUGUUAAACACUCUCAGUGAAACUGGGCCCUCACUUGGCCGAUCAAGAAGCUUCUGAAUUCUAUCCUCCCGUUUUCGUUUAUGCCUUUUGCUUUUGUACUUGAACUCCAGAAGAUCCUGAGCAGUCUUAAUCCCAAAGUAUAAAUUUAGGCCUCCAACUCUUUCAUGAAGAGUCAAGCCUCACUUUCAUCACAUACUUUAUAAACUCUGGUUUUUACUACCACAAAAUUGUAUGGAGAGAGCUUAUCUUUAUUAUUUUUAAAAAAAGCUCAACUGACAUAUUUACUCUUCAACUUGGUCACAAUCUAUUAAUUCCACAAAACUUAGUAUUUUUAUUUGUGUAUGAGCAAAAGCAAUUCAAUUACACUAAGUAAUGAUACCUGAGGAUGAAAAUCUUGAAAUUCUAUUGAGAGAUGUGCUUUUUGUUCAUAUAGACCAGACACGUGUUUCCAUCAUUGCUCACCUAAGAAUUCAGAAUAAACCAGCAGGAAAAAUCAGCAAGUAAAAAAUUGAAUGAUUUUUAGUUGAAGAUAGUAAAUAACAAAGUUUAUUAAGAAUAGUACUUGCAUAUAACUUAAUAUUAACCUUCUCUUGUUAGUUGCAGCAAUUCGCCCACAAAGAGAGAAUCAUGUUCAUACAUAUCCGUAUGGAAAAUAUCAGACUUCCACCAUACUUAAUUUUGCCACAUUAACUUACAGAUGCAAUCCUCCUUGCUUCAUUUGUAACCAAAGCUUUAAUAGAAGAGUAGUUUCUUCUCUCGAAGCUCUUCAGUCAUAGAAAAAUGGCUAUUGAUAAUAAACAUGGGUAUCAAUAACUAAAAUUCACUUGAAAAUAACAACUGACUAAAUAUGCAGCUGUCACAAUUGUAGCUAUUAGUUCGAUAAGAUCACUGGUACUAUUUGCAUAACAACAUUUUUUGAAAAAGAAUUAGUUGCAGUAUUAGAGUCAAUCCACCAGACUAUUCCAAACUAAUUCAACUUAUAAAUACAUAUAUUAACAAGUUCUCUUAGUUUGUUUAGCUUGUCAAGUUACAACAUCAAAAUAGACUUUUAGGCAAAACAAUGAAACCCCAUAUCCUUAAUAUAUCAUAUAGCGGUUGGGAUUUCUAUUCAGAUGUAGGCCAUAAGAUGUAAAAGAAGGGAAGAAAAGGGGAAGAAUAGUCCUAACUUUUCCUUUUACGGUUAGAGUUCGAAAAGUAUGUAAUAGAAACAGCUCUCACAAUCAUACCAGGUUUACAAAUUGCAUUUAGAAGUACUGAGUAUGAAACAACAUUGAGAGAUAUCAUUCAAGCAUUUCCUCAAAGAAGGGUGCAACUUUUAAGUGACCCCGUUAUGUAUAUCCCUUCUGUUAACAUUGUAUAUGCAAUGUAAUUAAGAGAUUAAGGUUGUAUCUGUUAGAAAGGGCAUAGAAACAAGCACUUGGAAGAAGUCUCUUACUCUUUCUCUUCAGUUGUACCCUGUAAGAAGUCUGAUGCAACACAUAUUACCUUUUGUAAAAUGAAGUCUCUUGUAGCAUACAAUACAUUAACUUCAAUAUACUUUUAGUGUUAAUUACCUUCUCAAUUUCUAAUUGUGUGUUUGUCACUCUGGUAGUUUCAAGUUCUAAUGAUACACUAUGAUUAUUUGCAUUUCUUGAAGAUCUUUCAACUUUUUAUUUUUCAUACUUUCUACUCCCAAAUUGAACCAUAAAGGAGAAAUAUAAUGCAUAAACAGCUUUCAGAUAAGUAGAUGGUGAUGCAUUAAAAGUGAAAACAUACUUUUAAAACAACCAAGAAAUGUGGAAUGAAAUCUUAGCAGCUUUCCUUUCAUCAUCUGCAACUACCUCUUUAGUGCCACCAGGACAUGUGAGUUGAAACUUCUGCAGGUUUUCUUUCAUCAUCUGCAAGUAUUUCUUUAGUAAAAAUUUUUUUUGAUUCACAUCUCCAAGAUGGGUGUGAUAUUUGAAAGCUAAGUAGCAUUUGGGUCCUUGAAACGUAAUAUGAAAACUAGAAAUAAUAGAAAUAGGAAAUAAAAUAUUAAAUCAUGAAACCAAACAGAAUUCUACACUCGUUAAGUUUUAUCAAUUUUUCUUCUAUGUCUAUCAAAAAAUUGAUGUUUUUUAAGCUUUUAUUAUUUGGUUUGCCACAAUGAAGUUUUAAACAAAACAAUCAUAUCGUGCGUGUUUGCAAGCUCGCAACCUUCUACACAGUCUAUUCUUGCUGCUUUUGCCGACAAUAGCUAAUGUAUAUUAGUAUAUUAAGGGUGCAAGUUGAUGGGAAUAAUGCUUUCUCCUCUAUCUUUUUCGGUUAAACUAUAUAGAUUCAAGAACUAAUCACAAAUUUGUGGCCUUUAUGAUUUUAAAAAUCCCGUACUCUGCAUUGAUUACACAUUGAAAACCAAUUAAGCCCAUUAUGCAACUCCUGAAAAAUAUUUUCCUAGUUAAAAUAAUAAAAUAAAGGAAGUAAAAAUAAGAAGCUGCCAUUUCGGAUCAUGGAUUAACUUCAAACCUCAUUCAACAGGAGGUUUGGAAGAAAAAUCAAAAGAGAAACAACGGAAAACGCAAAACUUGGUGAGGAAAAGAACCGGACUAUAAGAGCAUUUGCUUUGAUCAGCACAGAUACUAAGCAAGCAGUAGCGCACAACUUUAUCCCAAAUUAUAAAACACAUAGUUGUAUUCAAAAUUGGAUUACUUCUUAAUUCGUUAAACCACCUAUGUCAAGAGCACAAUGCCUGAUCAAUUCUAGCACAUUGAGUCGAAUCUCGAGCUUCUAUAUCAUUUCCUUGAUGAGGAAAAGUAGUCCAAAAUGCUUGAACAAUUCCCUUCGUAUGAGUCUAAGCAUAAAUAGUGGAAAAAUAGACAAAAUUAAAUUUACAAGGAACCAUAGAAAAUUGUACCUCGUCUAUUCACCUCUCGUUUCAACUCUGGAAGAUGCUAACCAUGGGAUUAUUGUUAUGCCAAAGCAAAUAUUAAAAGAGGAUAAGACCAAGCAAAUCAAAGACAACAGGAAAUCCCUAAAAAGGAUACAAAAGAUAAGCAAAAAUUAGAGAGAAAGGUGAAUAGUAAUGGAGUAAUGGUAGAAGAUUGCUGCUAGAACUCGCCAUCAAUGGUAGAUCCGUAAUUGGUUGAGCAAAUUAAUGGUGAAAGAAAGCUAGUUGGAGGACUGAGCUGCAAAGAAUUCUAGAUGAAUUAUAUACACGUGUGUUACCAAAAUAAUAAAAAUUUAACUUAAAUCAGUAAUUUAAAUCAGUUAUAAAAUUACUGAAAU